GAUGAACGCUGGCGGCGUGCUUAACACAUGCAAGUCGAACGGUGAAGGCGGAGCUUGCUCUGCUGGAUCAGUGGCGAACGGGUGAGUAACACGUGAGCAAUCUGCCCCUGACUCUGGGAUAAGCGCUGGAAACGGCGUCUAAUACUGGAUACGAGCUGCGAAGGCAUCUUCAGCAGCUGGAAAGAAUUUCGGUCAGGGAUGAGCUCGCGGCCUAUCAGCUUGUUGGUGAGGUAAUGGCUCACCAAGGCGUCGACGGGUAGCCGGCCUGAGAGGGUGACCGGCCACUCUGGGACUGAGACACGGCCCAGACUCCUACGGGAGGCAGCAGUGGGGAAUAUUGCACAGUGGGCGAAAGCCUGAUGCAGCAACGCCGCGUGAGGGACGACGGCCUUCGGGUUGUAAACCUCUUUUAGCAGGGAAGAAGCGAAAGUGACGGUACCUGCAGAAAAAGCGCCGGCUAACUACGUG
Molecule: ribosomal RNA, 468 nt
Filed under: uncultured bacterium
Lineage: Bacteria
Description: partial 16S ribosomal RNA
Rfam family: Bacterial small subunit ribosomal RNA
Source: RNAcentral